GACGAACGCUGGCGGCGUGCUUAACACAUGCAAGUCGAACGGUGAAGCGCCUUCCUUUUUGGUGGGUGUGGAUGAGUGGCGAACGGGUGAGUAACACGUGAGUAACCUGCCCCCUUCUUCUGGAUAACCGCAUGAAAGUGUGGCUAAUACGGGAUAUUCUGGGUCUGUCGCAUGAUGGGUCUGGGAAAGAUAUUGUUUCGGUGGGGGAUGGGCUCGCGGCCUAUCAGCUUGUUGGUGGGGUGAUGGCCUACCAAGGCGGUGACGGGGAGCCGGCCUGAGGGGGUGGACGGUCACACUGGGACGGAGACACGGCCCAGACUCCUACGGGAGGCAGCAGUGGGGAAUAGUGCACAAUGGGCGCAAGCCUGAUGCAGCGACGCCGCGGGAGGGAUGGAGGCCUUCGGGUUGUGAACCUCUUUCGCCAGUGAAGCAGGCCUGCCUCGUUUGUGGGUGGGUUGACGGUAGCUGGAUAAGAAGCGCCGGCUAACUACGUG
This 494-nucleotide ribosomal RNA is filed under the name uncultured bacterium. RNAcentral's name for it is "partial 16S ribosomal RNA". It matches the Rfam family "Bacterial small subunit ribosomal RNA", at positions 28 to 507 of the family's 1533-position model. The record is from RNAcentral.